This 775-nucleotide ribosomal RNA is filed under the name uncultured Neocallimastigales. Its description in RNAcentral is "partial large subunit ribosomal RNA". The stretch from base 4 to 665 matches the Rfam family "Eukaryotic large subunit ribosomal RNA", at positions 24 to 664 of the family's 3401-position model. Lineage: Eukaryota; Fungi; Neocallimastigomycota; Neocallimastigomycetes; Neocallimastigales. The record is from RNAcentral.
GUACACGCUGUGACUAGCAUAUCAAUAAGCGGAGGAAAAGAAACUAACAAGGAUUCCCUCAGUAACGGCGAGUGAAGCGGGAAGAGCUCAAAUUUGAAAUCUUGAAAGGUCACCUUUCACGAAUUGUAGUUUAAAGAAGUGUUUUCUGCUACGAUCGUAAUAUAAGUUCUUUGGAAUAGGACAUCACAGAGGGUGAGAAUCCCGUCUAUGAUUGCGAUUUGUAGCUUUGUGAUACACUUUCAAAGAGUCGGGAUUGUUUGGGAAUGCAGUCCAGAACUGGGAGGUAAAUUUCAUUCUAAGGCUAAAUAUUGGCGAGAGACCGAUAGCGAACAAGUACCGUGAGGGAAAGAUGAAAAGAACUUUGAAAAGAGAGUUAAACUAGUACGUGAAAUUGUCAAAAGGGAAGCGUUUAACACCAGUGUUGUUUUCUGAAAAUCAACCUCUGUUAGCUUUAUGCAUGUUUGUUUAGACCUAAUCAGCUAUCUCGCAUGUUCUAUUGUUUGCAGUGGUGCACUUUUCAGUUUACAGGUCAACAUCAGUUUUUUUUACCGUAAAAAAGUUAAAGAAAGGUAGCUCAUGGCUCCGGUCGUGAGUGUUAUAGUCUUUUUCCUAUGCGGUAGGAGAGACUGAGGUCUGCAGUGUAGGCUAUUUGGCUAGAUACUCAGGUGCUAUGUGAUACCAUUUCAUAAACAACUUGUUGAUUAUGUUUUGUCUAUUGCAUACUCGCUUGUACUAUCAUACCUACGCUUAGGAUGUUGAGUAGCGACAUACGCAC